CCUACGUGAGGCUGCAGUGAGGGAUAUUGGUCAAUGGGCGAAAGCCUGAACCAGCCACGUCGCGUGAAGGAUGACUGCCCUACGGGUUUUAAACUUCUUUUAUAAGGGAGUAGAGUGCGCCACAUGUGCGUUUUUGUCUGUACUUUAUGAAUAAGCAUCGGCUAAAUCCGUGCCAGCAGCCGCAGUAAUACGGAGGCUCCGAGCGUUAUCCGGAUUUAUUGGGGUUAAAGGGAGCGUAGGGGGGUCGGUAAGUCCGGUGGGAAAGGUUGCGGGCCAACCGUACCAGUGCAAUUGAUACUGGCAGUCUUGAGUACAGUCGAGGUAGGCGGAAUUCGUGGUGUAGCGGUGAAAUGCUUAGAUAUUACGAAGAACUCCGAUGGCGAAGGCAGCGUACUAAACGGAGACUGACACUGAGGCUCGAAAGUGUGGGUAUCAAACAGGAUUAGAUACCCCUGUAGUC
This 460-nucleotide ribosomal RNA is filed under the name uncultured bacterium. RNAcentral describes it as "partial 16S ribosomal RNA". It matches the Rfam family "Bacterial small subunit ribosomal RNA", at positions 338 to 795 of the family's 1533-position model. The record is from RNAcentral.